UACGUAUGGUGCAAGCGUUAAUCGGAAUUACUGGGCGUAAAGCGUGCGCAGGCGGUUUUGUAAGUCAGAUGUGAAAUCCCCGGGCUUAACCUGGGAACUGCGUUUGAAACUACAAGGCUAGAGUGUGGCAGAGGGGGGUGGAAUUCCACGUGUAGCAGUGAAAUGCGUAGAGAUGUGGAGGAACACCGAUGGCGAAGGCAGCCCCCUGGGUUAACACUGACGCUCAGGCACGAAAGCGUGGGGAGCAAACAGG
RNAcentral lists this ribosomal RNA (253 nucleotides) under uncultured bacterium. Its description in RNAcentral is "partial 16S ribosomal RNA". It matches the Rfam family "Bacterial small subunit ribosomal RNA", at positions 524 to 776 of the family's 1533-position model. The record is from RNAcentral.